UACGAAGGGGCUAGCGUUGUUCGGAAUUACUGGGCGUAAAGCGCACGUAGGCGGCUUCAAAAGUCGGUGUGAAAUCCCUCGGCUCAACCGAGGACGUGCAUCCGAAACUGUGAGGCUUGAGUACUGAAGAGGAUCGCGGAAUUCCCGGUGUAGAGGUGAAAUUCGUAGAUAUCGGGAGGAACACCAGUGGCGAAGGCAGGUCUCUGGGCAUUAACUGACGCUGAGGAGCGAAAGCAUGGGGAGCGAACGAGGA
RNAcentral lists this ribosomal RNA (253 nucleotides) under uncultured bacterium. RNAcentral describes it as "partial 16S ribosomal RNA". It matches the Rfam family "Bacterial small subunit ribosomal RNA", at positions 524 to 778 of the family's 1533-position model. The record is from RNAcentral.